AGUGAACGCUGGCGGUAGGCCUAACACAUGCAAGUCGAACGGCAGCACAGUAAGAGCUUGCUCUUACGGGUGGCGAGUGGCGGACGGGUGAGGAAUACAUCGGAAUCUACUUUUUCGUGGGGGAUAACGUAGGGAAACUUACGCUAAUACCGCAUACGACCUACGGGUGAAAGCAGGGGAUCUUCGGACCUUGCGCGAUUCAAUGAGCCGAUGUCGUAUUAGCUAGUUGGCGGGGUAAAGGCCCACCAAGGCGACGAUCCGGAGCUGGUCUGAGAGGAUGAUAAGCCACACUGGAACUGAGACACGGUCCAGACUCCUACGGGAGGCAGCAGUGGGGAAUAUUGGACAAUGGGCGCAAGCAUGAUCCAGCCAUACCGCGUGGGUGAAGAAGGCCUUCGGGUUGUAAAGCCCUUUUGUUGGGAAAGAAAAGCAGCAGGUUAAUACCCCGCUGUUCUGACGGUACCCAAAGAAUAAGCACCGGCUAACUUCGUG
This 492-nucleotide ribosomal RNA is filed under the name uncultured bacterium. RNAcentral describes it as "partial 16S ribosomal RNA". It matches the Rfam family "Bacterial small subunit ribosomal RNA", at positions 29 to 507 of the family's 1533-position model. The record is from RNAcentral.